GUGCCAGCAGCCGCGGUAAUACGUAGGUGGCAAGCGUUGUCCGGAUUUACUGGGCGUAAAGGGAGCGUAGGUGGAUAUUUAAGUGGGAUGUGAAAUACUCGGGCUCAACUUGAGUGCUGCAUUCCAAACUGGAUAUCUAGAGUGCAGGAGAGGAAAGUAGAAUUCCUAGUGUAGCGGUGAAAUGCGUAGAGAUUAGGAAGAAUACCAGCGGCGAAGGCGCCUUUCGGGACUGAAACUGACACUGAGGCUCGAA
RNAcentral lists this ribosomal RNA (253 nucleotides) under uncultured bacterium. Its description in RNAcentral is "partial 16S rRNA". It matches the Rfam family "Bacterial small subunit ribosomal RNA", at positions 505 to 757 of the family's 1533-position model. The record is from RNAcentral.